Molecule: ribosomal RNA, 300 nt
Filed under: uncultured Sulfolobus sp.
Lineage: Archaea; Thermoproteati; Thermoproteota; Thermoprotei; Sulfolobales; Sulfolobaceae
Description: bacterial SSU rRNA
Rfam family: Bacterial small subunit ribosomal RNA (bases 52-300)
Source: RNAcentral
GCGUGCUCGAUCGGAGAAGCCGGGGUAUGACGGGGUGGGCCGGUGGUGGUCGGAAUAUGUGGGCGUCAAGGGGGAGGAGGCUGCCCGUGAAGUCGGACGGGAAAGCCGCCGGGUCACAUGGGGGACUGCGUCCGAUUCUGUUCGGCUCGAGUCCUGGAGAGGGUAGUGGAAUUGCCAGUGUAGCGGGGAAAUGCGUAGAGACUGGGAGGAACAUCGGUGGCGAAGGCGGCUACCUGGACAGGUACUGACGCUGAGGCGCGAAAGCUAGGGGAGCAAACAGGAUUAGAUACCCUAGUAGUC